This 253-nucleotide ribosomal RNA is filed under the name uncultured bacterium. RNAcentral describes it as "partial 16S ribosomal RNA". It matches the Rfam family "Bacterial small subunit ribosomal RNA", at positions 524 to 776 of the family's 1533-position model. The record is from RNAcentral.
UACGAAGGGGGCUAGCGUUGCUCGGAAUUACUGGGCGUAAAGGGAGCGUAGGCGGACAGUUUAGUCAGAGGUGAAAGCCCAGGGCUCAACCCUGGAAUUGCCUUUGAUACUGAUUGUCUUGAGUAUGGGAGAGGUGUGUGGAACUCCGAGUGUAGCGGUGAAAUGCGCAGAUAUCAGGAGGAACACCAAUUGCGAAGGCAGCUCGCUGGGACGUUACUGACGCUGAGACGCGAAAGCGUGGGGAGCAAACAGG